CAUCAAAGCAAUAUUUCGCUACCAAAUUAUUGAUGGAUUUGUCUUUCAUUGCAAGAAUAGAUAUAAAUAAGUCGUGAUUUAUUAAAAUAACUGUCGAGUGUUUAAAGUUGUCCUUCAGCAGCAUAAGGGAGUGGACCGCGCGCGUUCGGGAGCCUGUUAUUGGAAUUUGCUAAUUUCGCAUGUAAAAUAGCCCAUGUUUAACGCAUGAUAACUUCGCAAGUAAAGAAUAUUUUAUUUUUGAAUUUUUUGUGUUUGUGAAAGAAGGAUAGAUCUAAACAACUACAAAAUCUUGAAGUUCUUACAUUUUGUAACGCGAGAGUAAUAUGCCAUCGAAUUUGUCGAAUAUUUGUGAGUCGCGACGCCAUUAAAUCAUGUGGCACCAGGUUCCGCCGUGAACACGUCGUGUUCAACCGUAAAUUCGGAGUGAUCUCUGGGGUCAUAUGGGACAAUUUGGUAUUGAAAGAAAGAUAAAGACCUCAGCUAUCCACCGAUGUCCUGUUCUUUCGAGAUUUCAACACGGAAGGACUCAUAGAGAUUAUAAAUAACACCCUAAAAGGUAUU
Molecule: non-coding RNA, 561 nt
Organism: Paramuricea clavata
Lineage: Eukaryota; Metazoa; Cnidaria; Anthozoa; Malacalcyonacea; Plexauridae
Source: the annotation of a GenBank genome assembly